CAGGGAUCCAUGGUGCCAGGAUGACAGGAAGGAAAGAAGGUGGAUGCCAGUGGAUUAGUAGCAGACCAGGCAGUAAGGCAGUAUUAGUAGCAGAACAGACAGCAGGCAGUAAGGCAGUAUUAGUAGCAGACCAGACAGCAGGCAGUAUUAGUAGCAGACCAGACAGCAGGCAGUAUUAGUAGCAGAACAGACAGCAGGCAGUAUUAGUAGCAGAACAGACAUCAGGCAGUAUUAGUAGCAGAACAGACAGCAGGCAGUAAGGCAGUAUUAGUAGCAGAACAGACAGCAGGCAGUAAGGCAGUAUUAGUAGCAGAACAGACAGCAGGCAGUAUUAGUAGCAGAACAGACAGCAGGCAGUAAGGCAGUAUUAGUAGCAGAACAGACAGCAGGCAGUAUUAAGAGCAGAACAGACAGCAGGCAGUAUUAGUAGCAGAACAGACAGCAGGCAGUAAGGCAGUAUUAGUAGCAGAACAGACAGCAGGCAGUAAGGCAGUAUUUGCUUAAUCUGGG
Molecule: long non-coding RNA, 510 nt
Organism: Oncorhynchus tshawytscha (Chinook salmon)
Lineage: Eukaryota; Metazoa; Chordata; Actinopteri; Salmoniformes; Salmonidae
Source: Ensembl